AAAAUACUGUCAUCUAAAACCCUAGCCGGAAACUUAUCUGAGAUGGGCGAUUCUUCGACCGCCGGCAACGGAGACAAUCUCUCGCCGGCCUCUCCCAAACUUCCGAUUCCCGGCAAAAGAAACAUCCUCAUCACAAGCGCUUUGCCGUAUGUCAACAACGUUCCUCAUCUCGGAAACAUCAUCGGAAGUGUGUUGAGUGCGGAUGUCUUCGCGAGAUACUGUAGACUUCGGGAUUACAAUAUCAUAUACAUGUGUGGUACUGAUGAAUAUGGCACAGCUACAGAGACUAAAGCCUUGGAAGAAAAUUGUACUCCCAAGCAAAUUUGUGACAAAUAUCAUGCAAUCCAUAGAGAAGUGUAUAAAUGGUUUAAUAUAAGCUUUGAUCACUUUGGACGCACAUCAACUCCGCAACAGACCGAAGUUUGUCAGGCGAUCUUCAAAAAACUCUGGGAGAAUAAUUGGCUCUCUGAGAACACCAUGCAACAGCCGUACUGUGAGACAUGCAAAAAGUUUUUGGCUGACCGGCUUGUAGAGGGUAACUGUCCGACACCAGGUUGCAACUAUGAUUCUGCACGAGGAGAUCAA
Molecule: unclassified non-coding RNA, 585 nt
Filed under: Hevea brasiliensis (rubber tree)
Lineage: Eukaryota; Viridiplantae; Streptophyta; Magnoliopsida; Malpighiales; Euphorbiaceae
Source: RNAcentral